CACCCAUCGGCUUUGCCCUGCUCCUGGCCAGGGCUGGGCUCUUGCCAAACACCCAAAUUGGCCAUAUUGCAUGUUUCACACACUUGCUUCCCUGUGAAUGUCCUCACCUUAAAACCAGAGUGGAAGAGUCGGGACUGCACAGUGAGAAGGACUGUGGCUCACAGAUCCAGCUUCUGGAAAGCUCAUGGAAUGGCCACUAGGGAGAAGAAAUUGAUGGGAUUAAGUGCUGAUUGAAAGCAGACACCAAAAAUCCCCCCAAAAGAAGAAACACGUAUUCUUCAUAGUAUGCUGGCAGCUGGACAGUUCUUCACUGUUUAGAGAUAAACUAUGUGUACAGGAACUUCACCUAAACAUCUACUGGUGUUUUAAAUAGUAAAUAAAUAAAUAACCUUACUGCUGUGCUAAUUCA
This 409-nucleotide long non-coding RNA is filed under the name Cyanistes caeruleus (blue tit). Its description in RNAcentral is "lncRNA (ENSCCEG00000008465.1)". Lineage: Eukaryota; Metazoa; Chordata; Aves; Passeriformes; Paridae. The record is from RNAcentral.